UGGGGAAUAUUGGACAAUGGGCGAAAGCCUGAUCCAGCCAUGCCGCGUGUGUGAAGAAGGUCUUCGGAUUGUAAAGCACUUUAAGUUGGGAGGAAGGGCAGUAAAUUAAUACUUUGCUGUUUUUGACGUUACCGACAGAAUAAGCACCGGCUAACUCUGUGCCAGCAGCCGCGGUAAUACAGAGGGGUGCAAGCGUUAAUCGGAAUUACUGGGCGUAAAGCGCGCGUAGGUGGUUCGUUAAGUUGGAUGUGAAAUCCCCGGGCUCAACCUGGGAACUGCAUUCAAACUGACGAGCUAGAGUAUGGUAGAGGGUGGUGGAAUUUCCUGUGUAGCGGUGAAAUG
This 342-nucleotide ribosomal RNA is filed under the name uncultured bacterium. RNAcentral describes it as "partial 16S ribosomal RNA". It matches the Rfam family "Bacterial small subunit ribosomal RNA", at positions 355 to 688 of the family's 1533-position model. The record is from RNAcentral.